This 597-nucleotide ribosomal RNA is filed under the name Triticum aestivum (bread wheat). Its description in RNAcentral is "partial small subunit ribosomal RNA". Lineage: Eukaryota; Viridiplantae; Streptophyta; Magnoliopsida; Poales; Poaceae. The record is from RNAcentral.
AUGGGGUUCACGGCGCGACCCGCGGUGUGCAUCGUCGGCGUCCUCCUCCUCGCCGCCGCCCUCCUGGCGGCGGCGGAGGGCGAGUGGGACGCGCCGGAGUCGUGCGCGACCCCGGUGAGCGUGGAGGCGGCGUGCCGGGGGGCCUCGGACACGCACCACGGCGUGGACUACGACCACUGCGUGCGGUCCCUGAACGCGGACGCGCGCAGCGCCGACGCCUCCGCGUCCGCCGGGAUCCACGGCCUGGCGGUGCUGGCCACGAGGAUCGCCGUGGACCACGCCGCCAGCACGGAGGCCAAGAUCGAGGACCUGGCGGAGCUCGAGGCCGAGGCCGGCGCCGACCGCGCCCGGUUCGACCACUGCCUGGAGCAGUACGGCGGCGCCGCCGACCUGCUCCGCGACGCGCUGGACAACCUGCAGGCCAACGUGUACGGCCUGGCCAUGCAGCAGCUCAUGGCGGCGCUGGGCGCGUCCCGGAGCUGCGAGGACGCCUGGAGGGGCGCCCCCGCGCGCGCCGUCCCCGUCGCCGCCCACGACCGCGAGUACGAGCGCCUCGCCCACAUCGCCAUCGGCUUCACCCACGCCGCCGCCAAAUGA